This 434-nucleotide long non-coding RNA is filed under the name Chinchilla lanigera (long-tailed chinchilla). RNAcentral's name for it is "lncRNA (ENSCLAG00000026205.1)". Lineage: Eukaryota; Metazoa; Chordata; Mammalia; Rodentia; Chinchillidae. The record is from RNAcentral.
AGUCCUGAGGAAACUUUGCUCCAAAGCCCUGCAGCAGACCAUUCCUGCACCACCACUAGCCAUGCUUAUGGGAUUGCCACAGCAACCUGGACUGGUCCUCUGUGGUCCUUGUCGACUUCAUAUGGUCCUGGUCAGUCUGUGAAAAUAAAGUCAGUCACUCUUGCUACCCACAAAGUGUGAUGCACAAUAACUGUUACUGUUCGGAGACAAACACUCCAUCUAAACAAGAACACUCAGAAGCACCUGGGGACAUAAUCCCCUUCCUCCAGCAAACUUUCCUACAUAUCAGAUCCACGUUCUAUUUUGAAGUUAGAAGAAAGAAAUCUUUAAAGAAAAAGGAAAUGUCAGGGGAGGCUCCUGAAGCAGAGGAUCAACCUUUGCUACCAACAUCUCCUCCAAGGACAGCCAAAACCUCCCAGGGGCCAACAGGAUAG